This 301-nucleotide ribosomal RNA is filed under the name uncultured bacterium. RNAcentral describes it as "partial 16S ribosomal RNA". It matches the Rfam family "Bacterial small subunit ribosomal RNA", at positions 509 to 807 of the family's 1533-position model. The record is from RNAcentral.
CAGCCGCCGCGGUAAUACGUAGGUGGCAAGCGUUGUCCGGAAUUAUCGGGCGUAAAGGGCUCGCAGGCGGUUUCUUAAGUCUGAUGUGAAAGCCCCCGGCUCAACCGGGGAGGGUCAUUGGAAACUGGGAAACUUGAGUGCAGAAGAGGAGAGUGGAAUUCCACGUGUAGCGGUAAAAUGCGUAGAAAUGUGGAGGAACACCAGUGGCGAAGGCGACUCUCUGGUCUGUAACUGACGCUGAGGAGCGAAAGCUAGGGGAGCAAAUGGGAUUAGAUACCCCCGUAGUCCCUGUCUCUUAUAC